This 177-nucleotide unclassified non-coding RNA is filed under the name uncultured Agaricomycetes. RNAcentral describes it as "sequence contains ITS1". Lineage: Eukaryota; Fungi; Basidiomycota; Agaricomycetes. The record is from RNAcentral.
AUGAAUGAGGCCUUUGGCUUCGAUCCCACGCGCCCUCGCUGUGCGCCACUUGUGGCAGCACGCUUGGAACACGUGAUUCUCACACCUGUGCACCUUUGGAAACGGGGAUUCAUUUCCCCGUGUCUUUCCUAUACACAACUUUGUAACGAAAGUCUCUUUAUUUCUUUAACGAAAAUA